This 468-nucleotide ribosomal RNA is filed under the name uncultured bacterium. RNAcentral's name for it is "partial 16S ribosomal RNA". It matches the Rfam family "Bacterial small subunit ribosomal RNA", at positions 28 to 507 of the family's 1533-position model. The record is from RNAcentral.
GACGAACGCUGGCGGCGUGCUUAACACAUGCAAGUCGAACGGAAAAGCCCUGCUUUUGUGGGGUGCUCGAGUGGCGAACGGGUGAGUAACACGUGAGUAACCUGCCCUUGACUUUGGGAUAACUUCAGGAAACUGGGGCUAAUAACGGAUAGGAGCUCCUGCUGCAUGGUGGGGGUUGGAAAGUUUCGGCGGUUGGGGAUGGACUCGCGGCGUAUCAGCUUGUUGGUGGGGUAGUGGCUUACCAAGGCUUUGACGGGUAGCCGGCCUGAGAGGGUGACCGGCCACAUUGGGACUGAGAUACGGCCCAGACUCCUACGGGAGGCAGCAGUGGGGAAUAUUGCACAAUGGGCGGAAGCCUGAUGCAGCAACGCCGCGUGCGGGAUGACGGCCUUCGGGUUGUAAACCGCUUUCGCCUGUGACGAAGCGUGAGUGACGGUAAUGGGUAAAGAAGCACCGGCUAACUACGUG